ACCUGGCCAAAGUACAUCCUUGAAUGCAAAAUGCAAGACAUUCAUUUUUUAUUAUUAUUACUUGGAUCAGUGUCAGAGCAUGAGUGUGUGUGUUUUCUUUUUCAUUUUUUUUAAUAGCAUUCAUUGUGUCAUGUAUGUUUGGGGAUGUUAAGUAAGACCUAUUGUAUGUGCUAAUAGUAUAUCCUCCUUUACACCGUAUAUAUCUUGGUGUCAGGUAGUGCUCCUAGUAUUUAUGAUAUAUGAGGCUACACAAUGACAUGCAGACAACUAACACCAUUUUUUUCUUUUAUUUCAAAACUUAA
RNAcentral lists this long non-coding RNA (302 nucleotides) under Mytilus galloprovincialis (Mediterranean mussel). The record is from RNAcentral. Lineage: Eukaryota; Metazoa; Mollusca; Bivalvia; Mytilida; Mytilidae.